RNAcentral lists this ribosomal RNA (732 nucleotides) under Triticum aestivum (bread wheat). RNAcentral's name for it is "partial small subunit ribosomal RNA". Lineage: Eukaryota; Viridiplantae; Streptophyta; Magnoliopsida; Poales; Poaceae. The record is from RNAcentral.
AUGGCAGGAAUUAGAUAUUCAGAUGAUUUGUAUGGGGUACGAGCUACCAUAAAUGCGUAUGAGCCAAAGGUGAAGAAAGGUAGCAAGGAUAUUAGUCAAUCAGGUGUACUAAUUGAUAAUGGACCAAAGAGUCAAGAAGAAGCUGUAGGUGCGUGUUAUUCGGUAGCUCCAAACUCCACUGGCGAUACCUUUGCAAGGUUUCAUGUUGUUUGGCGAGAUAGCAGACUACACAAGCCCUGCUAUGAUCAUGUAUGUCCUGGUUUUGUGCAAGUUAGUCACCGUGUUGGUCUUGGAGGAAGAGUACUUCCUAUUUCAGUCUACAACGGACCACAAUAUGUGAUAGACAUUUACAUUUUCAAGGACCCAAAAACAGCGAAUUGGUGGGUGAUGUAUGGUGAAGAAAAGACACCGAUUGGAUAUUGGCCAAGUUCACUCUUCUCUCACUUUAAAGAUAAAGGAAUUUCCUCAUUCUGGGGCGGUUUUGUUCAGGGCCCAACAGCUUCAUCAGACUCUCCACAAAUUGGUAGUGGGCAUGUGGCCUCUGAAGGGUAUGGAAAAGCAGCUUUUAUGAGGGACAUUCAGAUUGUUGACAACAACAACAAGCUUGUCACUCCAAAUAGACACAAAGACCUUGUUGGAUCUAGUGAUAAAAAGAAAUAUAGUAUUGAUGGUUAUAAAGUUGAUAACCAUGGUAUGCAUAUGUAUUAUGGUGGACCAGGUAAUUUGGUCUAA